UAUGGCAACCUUGGGGGAAAUUGAUACACUCCCCUAAAUGAAACUUCAUUUUAUAUUGGGUAUGACUUUCUGCUUUCUGCUUUUCAGCAUGAAUCAGUGGGACUCCCAGCUUGAGCCUUGGCGGGGCCAGGACCAGGGAGUCUCAGCCAACUCAGAAGACUAGAGAAAAUUAUGUAGGAUAGGAUCACUGAGACACCCUACUCAGACAGAAUCUUGGGAAAACAGGCAGAAGGAGGAUGCUGGCAUCAUGGUGAAUUAUUCAUCCUCUCCUUCCAGACUGGGAUGCUCUCCCUCCUUUACAUGGAAAUUCCCAACUCCUUCCAGCCAACUCCCGCUCGUUCCUUCAGUUCUCAGCCUGGACUGGAAGAGCUUGACAACGCUUCUGCAGAGACAAUGCUGUGUUCAUAGAUGUGGACUACGUUCCUCAGGCCCCUUGACAUCUAGAUAUGGACCAUAUGACUGAGUCCAGCCAAAAAGAGGAAGGUAGAAGGAAAGCAUGCCACUUCCACAUUUGCCCAUAAAAUAUCCCAGGCAAUCUUCCACACCCUCUCUCCUACCUCUGUGAGGCUGGAAACAAAAAGCUCUGAGAUGGGAGCCUUCUCAAGCAAGAAGAGGCCAAAUCUCUGAUCUCUGACGGAGAGAUGCUGAGUAGUCACCCUACCAAGAAGAUCUGCAUUGGAUUUUACUGGCGCAAGAAAUAAAUCCUUACUGUGUGAAGCCA
Molecule: long non-coding RNA, 721 nt
Organism: Suricata suricatta (meerkat)
Lineage: Eukaryota; Metazoa; Chordata; Mammalia; Carnivora; Herpestidae
Exons: 4
Source: RefSeq, a predicted model, not a curated record